GACGAACGCUGGCGGCGUGCUUAACACAUGCAAGUCGAACGGAAAGGCCCUGCUUUUGUGGGGUGCUCGAGUGGCGAACGGGUGAGUAACACGUGAGUAACCUGCCCUUGACUUUGGGAUAACUUCAGGAAACUGGGGCUAAUACCGGAUAGGAGCUCCUGCUGCAUGGUGGGGGUUGGAAAGUUUCGGCGGUUGGGGAUGGACUCGCGGCUUAUCAGCUUGUUGGUGGGGUAGUGGCUUACCAAGGCUUUGACGGGUAGCCGGCCUGAGAGGGUGACCGGCCACAUUGUGACUGAGAUACGGCCCAGACUCCUACGGGAGGCAGCAGUGGGGAAUAUUGCACAAUGGGCGGAAGCCUGAUGCAGCAACGCCGCGUGCGGGAUGACGGCCUUCGGGUUGUAAACCGCUUUCGCCUGUGACGAAGCGUGAGUGACGGUAAUGGGUAAAGAAGCACCGGCUAACUACGUG
Molecule: ribosomal RNA, 468 nt
Filed under: uncultured bacterium
Lineage: Bacteria
Description: partial 16S ribosomal RNA
Rfam family: Bacterial small subunit ribosomal RNA
Source: RNAcentral